GGUAGUGUGGCCGAGCGGUCUAAGGCCUUGGAUUAAGGCUCCAGUCUCUGGAGGACCUUCGGUUCGAAUCUCACCACUACCA
This 82-nucleotide transfer RNA is filed under the name Alligator mississippiensis (American alligator). It matches the Rfam family "tRNA". Rfam says of the family: Transfer RNA (tRNA) molecules are approximately 80 nucleotides in length. Lineage: Eukaryota; Metazoa; Chordata; Crocodylia; Alligatoridae. The record is from Rfam by way of RNAcentral.